UCGAAAAAUUGGAAUUGGACA
RNAcentral lists this non-coding RNA (21 nucleotides) under Caenorhabditis elegans. Lineage: Eukaryota; Metazoa; Nematoda; Chromadorea; Rhabditida; Rhabditidae. The record is from RNAcentral.